Long non-coding RNA from Pogoniulus pusillus (Red-fronted tinkerbird), 2171 nucleotides. RefSeq lists it as uncharacterized. The transcript is spliced from 2 exons. The record is from RefSeq and is a predicted model, not a curated record. NCBI's taxonomy places the organism in Eukaryota, Metazoa, Chordata, Aves, Piciformes, Lybiidae.
GAAAGAGUCAAGUGACUUCAUGGAUAUGUUGCAUAUACUUUUGUGUGAUGGAGGAAUUGCUAGUUGCAACUUUCCUUAUACAUAACAAGUACUAAUUUGAUCUUGUAAUGUGUUCUGCUCGGAGUGGAUGCUGAGAGAAAAGGAGACUUUCUCCAUCUUGCUAGCUUUUUAUACUGAAUUUGGCAGUAAUAGGUUGUGCUAGGUGGUCUUCACGUGCUGAGCAUGUAGACUUACUUAGGUAUAUGCACACUGGUUACCUCUUUCAAUCUUUAACUCAGUAGAACAGAGGUAAAGGGCUAAUUAUGGCUACAAUAUAUUUAUUAGUCUAUUUAUAAGAAUUUACUUAAUUCCUUACUGCUAUUCCUAUCCUGUCCCACUUCAUUAUAUAAAAAAAACUCUUUAGAGUUUGGUUUUGGUUUGGGGUUUAUUUUAUUUUUCUUUUCCUCUGCACAGAGAUGCUGGAAUUCUUCUCUUGGCUGUUCCACAUUAGGAGUUUUGGCUGAGUUUCCCAUUAGCUUUUAUUACUUUCUUUUAGAUUAGCAGUACUGUGCCUUAUAGUAAAACACUUAAGACAUGUGAAGCGUCUGAGAGUGAAUAUAAAGCCUGGCAUCUCCCAUUAUGACUUCUUGUUCAAACAUUUAUAUACUGUACAUGGUACAAGGAAUUGCUAAACUGUUUUGUAAAGAAAUAUGUAUAUUUAAAACACUACUUAACAGUGUUAAGUGACUUGUUUAGGAUUUUAGCAUUGUGAUGUUACAAAUACUAUGCUACAUUCCUCAGUUUCCUUUUGUAAAGCCGUUACUACCAGGUUGCUUAAAACAGUGUCUUUUACUAGACAUUGGUUUGAGAGUGUGUUUUGGUUUUAAAAUGUAUAUUUGGAAUGUUUUUAAGAAAAUAUGCAAUUCUUUCUAACUUAUUUGAACUUCAAUAGAAGCAGUAACUUUUUUUUUUUAAUUUUAGAAUGAAUGUUCUAGAAAUGACAGACGUUUCAGCUGGGAAAUGUGUAAUCCCAACUUCUACAUUGCAGAGCAGAUCUUUCACCCUAAAUUUCCUUCCUAAAAAUUCCUAUUAAUGCCUACUUUAAAAAAAAGGUUAAUCUGCCUCUUCCCUGUAGGAGUGUUAACUUUUAUAGUUAUGUUUACUGGAAGAUUGUGAAGUGGUAGUUCUGAUGUCACCAGCAGGUGCAAGUUUUUUGCCUUUAUCAUACAAGAAGCACACGAGGAUGGAAUGUGACUGACCAGCCAUCUCCAAAACGGAACAGAUGAGAAAACCCAACCUGCAACUACGCCAAUCAAUGUAUAGGGACGUUUCUGUCUCCAGCAGAAGCUUAUCAGCAUUUACAGAACUGCCUUUUAACUAUCUCUUCAAUAUUAAAAACUAAGUCUUCUCCCUCUUCCUUAACACAAAACUGAACACGAUGUAGUGAACGCUGAGAGGGUUUUAAACUGUAGCUCAAGAAGGAACCAAAAGGCAUUAUCAAGAGAAGUCUUGUCGGUCUGUGGAUUGUCUUGCUAAUACCUGCAGCGCAAUAUUCUUGCGAGAGAGGAGAAACGUGGUGAUGUGAAGAUUUGGGAAUUGGAAUUGUAGAUUAAACAUGCACAAAUCAAGCCAAAGGCUUUUAUUUCUGUUCAGUUUGGGUCCUGAUUUCUCUCCUCAGCUAUCCUGUUGUAUUGCAAAACUUGGUUUCAGAAAGUUUAAAAAAGUAGAUGAUUUCUAUAACUGCAUGUGUUUGUGUGAAGAAUGCACUGCCUGGAAACUGUCCAUUAUACUUCCAUGGGACCUGAAGCUACUUUGCACCAUCUGAAACAUGGUAUUGAUACUGCAUUUUUCAAUGAGCAGAUCCUUAAUUCAGAAGAGCAAAAUAAUUUGAGUUUCCAUCAUUUCAUUAGUCUGAAGCUUAAGUCCAAAACCUUGAAGCCAGUUACUUUUCCUGUAAACAUAACUGCAGAGAACCAUUUGAACUUGCUAGUUUGUCAACAGCUAUUCACAACUGACUGUCUUUUAUGAUAACUGUGUACUGACUUGGUUGCAUUGUUUGGAUUAAGCACUGGACUAUGUCUUUUCCAUUGUAUAUGUACAACUGCAAGAAUGUUGAGUUAUGCAUUGUUGUACCUUAAUGGCUAUAAAAGCUCAAAUUCCAUAAUAAAUUAUACAGACCUUUUAAAAAGCAA